Molecule: non-coding RNA, 1028 nt
Organism: Oryza sativa Japonica Group (Japanese rice)
Lineage: Eukaryota; Viridiplantae; Streptophyta; Magnoliopsida; Poales; Poaceae
Source: RefSeq, a predicted model, not a curated record
GGAGGCGUAUGAGGUGGUGGCCCCGACGCCGACGCCGCCGCCGGGAUCCCCUCCUAUCCCCAACGCCGUCGCCGCUCGGGGCCCUCCCUCUCCGCCGCGCUCUCCGCUUGGGGCCUUCCCUAUCGACGGCGACCUCACCGGCCCCCACGACGACCAGGUGGCCCCACUCCGACUCCGGCUCUCCUCCUCCUCGCAGCGUCCUCCCUCCCCGCCGCUGCCCCGUCCCCCAUCCCCAGCAUGGUAUCGCGAGAGAAGAGGACGCCGAUGCAGGGGCGGAGUCCGGCGGCGAGCUCCCCGUCCGUCGCGUCCAAGGGUAGCGCCGACCGGCGACCGUUGCUGACGAGCCUGGCGAGGCCGAAGGCGCCGAGCUCGACGUUGAAGGAGGCAUGCUCGGCUUAUGUGAUUGAAAUGGCAUUCUGUUAAAUCCACUCCUAUGGAGUGGCAUAUUGUUAAAUUUCUCCUCGUUCGCCUCCAAGGAUGCCGACGUGAUCUUGCCGACUGGGAAAGAAGGGGCUUGAGGAAAAAGAAGAAGCUUGACAGAAGACACCGGAUCUGGACGAAGGAGGGGCUCCAUCGUCAUCAUCGCCAUGAUCUUCCUUCUCUCCUCAUCGAAGCCACCAUCAUCUUCCCGACAGCUGUCAACUCUCCUCGUUUCUCUCUCUCCAGAUCGACCGGAUUGAGUGGCCUUGAGCUCGUGGCCGCCGGAUCUUCGACGGUGGGGCGAGUGGCAAGGUCCGGGUGGGUGGUGGGAUCCUGUGGGGAUCAAGGGGGCAGCGGGAUCUGGUAGGGAGGCCGGCGAUGGAUCUGGUGGGGAGGUACGCGGCGGAGUCGUGGUGAGGGUCGAGCGGUUGUUUGCGGCGAGGAGUCCGGCGGCGAUAGGAACAAGUGUGGCGAGAGCAAAUAAUUUUUCUUUUUCUUUGUUCUGUUUUCUCUAACCGAUCAAUCAUUUGUAACCUGUCAAGUUGUAACCACCGGCUUAAUACUGUACUCAAGCAUCUUUUUUUCCUGGUUGAUGAUUAUCCGAUCCA